This 506-nucleotide ribosomal RNA is filed under the name uncultured bacterium. RNAcentral describes it as "partial 16S ribosomal RNA". It matches the Rfam family "Bacterial small subunit ribosomal RNA", at positions 29 to 523 of the family's 1533-position model. The record is from RNAcentral.
AGUGAACGCUGGCGGUAGGCCUAACACAUGCAAGUCGAACGGCAGCACAGAGGAGCUUGCUCCUUGGGUGGCGAGUGGCGGACGGGUGAGGAAUACAUCGGAAUCUACUCUGUCGUGGGGGAUAACGUAGGGAAACUUACGCUAAUACCGCAUACGACCUACGGGUGAAAGCAGGGGACCUUCGGGCCUUGCGCGAUUGAAUGAGCCGAUGUCGGAGUAGCUAGUUGGCGGGGUAAAGGCCCACCAAGGCGACGAUCCGUAGCUGGUCUGAGAGGAUGAUCAGCCACGCUGGAACUGAGAAACGGUCCAGACUCCUACGGGAGGCAGCAGUGGGGAAUAUUGGACAAUGGGCGCAAGCCUGAUCCAGCCAUACCGCGUGGGUGAAGAAGGCCUUCGGGUUGUAAAGCCCUUUUGUUGGGAAAGAAAUCCAGCUGGCUAAUACCCGGUUGGGAUGACGGUACCCAAAGAAUAAGCACCGGCUAACUUCGUGCCAGCAGCCGCCGUAA